GUUAGGAAUAUUGGACAAUGGGCGCAAGCCUGAUCCAGCCAUGCCGCGUGAGUGAUGAAGGCCUUCGGGUUGUAAAGCUCUUUAGCCGAUGAUUAUAAUGACUGUAGUCGGAAAAUAAGCCCCGGCUAACUUCGUGCCAGCAGCCGCGGUAAUACGAAGGGGGCGAGCGUUAUUCGGAAUCACUGGGCGUAAAGCGUGCGUAGGCGGCUUUGCAAGUUGGGAGUGAAAGACCAGGGCUCAACCCUGGAAUUGCUCUCAAAACUGCAAGGCUCGAAUUCGGGAGAGGAUAGCGGAAUUGUCAGUGUAGCAGUGAAAUGCGUAGAUAUUGACAGGAACACCAGUGGCGUAAGCGGCUAUCUGGACCGAUAUUGACGCUGAGGCACGAAAGCGUGGGGAUCAAACAGGAUUAGAAACCCCGGUAGUCC
Molecule: ribosomal RNA, 425 nt
Filed under: uncultured bacterium
Lineage: Bacteria
Description: bacterial SSU rRNA
Rfam family: Bacterial small subunit ribosomal RNA
Source: RNAcentral